Molecule: ribosomal RNA, 492 nt
Filed under: uncultured bacterium
Lineage: Bacteria
Description: partial 16S ribosomal RNA
Rfam family: Bacterial small subunit ribosomal RNA
Source: RNAcentral
AGUGAACGCUGGCGGUAGGCCUAACACAUGCAAGUCGAACGGCAGCACAGUAAGAGCUUGCUCUUACGGGUGGCGAGUGGCGGACGGGUGAGGAAUACAUCGGAAUCUACUUUUUCGUGGGGGAUAACGUAGGGAAACUUACGCUAAUACCGCAUACGACCUACGGGUGAAAGCAGAGGAUCUUCGGACCUUGCGCGAUUGAAUGAGCCGAUGUCGGAUUAGCUAGUUGGCGGGGUAAAGGCCCACCAAGGCGACGAUCCGUAGCUGGUCUGAGAGGAUGAUCAGCGACACUGGAACUGAGACACGGUCCAGACUCCUACGGGAGGCAGCAGUGGGGAAUAUUGGACAAUGGGCGCAAGCCUGAUCCAGCCAUACCGCGUGGGUGAAGAAGGCCUUCGGGUUGUAAAGCCCUUUUGUUGGGAAAGAAAAGCAGCAGGUUAAUACCCCGCUGUUCUGACGGUACCCAAAGAAUAAGCACCGGCUAACUUCGUG